Molecule: ribosomal RNA, 431 nt
Filed under: uncultured Acinetobacter sp.
Lineage: Bacteria; Pseudomonadati; Pseudomonadota; Gammaproteobacteria; Moraxellales; Moraxellaceae
Description: bacterial SSU rRNA
Rfam family: Bacterial small subunit ribosomal RNA
Source: RNAcentral
GUGGGGAAUAUUGGACAAUGGGCGAAAGCCUGAUCCAGCCAUGCCGCGUGUGUGAAGAAGGCCUUUUGGUUGUAAAGCACUUUAAGCGAGGAGGAGGAGCUUCAGGUUAAUACCCUGGAUGCUUGGACGUUACUCGCAGAAUAAGCACCGGCUAACUCUGUGCCAGCAGCCGCGGUAAUACAGAGGGUGCAAGCGUUAAUCGGAUUUACUGGGCGUAAAGCGUGCGUAGGCGGCUAAUUAAGUCAAAUGUGAAAUCCCCGAGCUUAACUUGGGAAUUGCAUUCGAUACUGGUUAGCUAGAGUAUGGGAGAGGAUGGUAGAAUUCCAGGUGUAGCGGUGAAAUGCGUAGAGAUCUGGAGGAAUACCGAUGGCGAAGGCAGCCAUCUGGCCUAAUACUGACGCUGAGGUACGAAAGCAUGGGGAGCAAACAGG